AGCGACUUAGGUUAAAUCCAGACCAAGGGCCUUCAAAGCCCUAAGCGAGAGUGCAACCCUCCCAGUCGCUA
This 71-nucleotide transfer RNA is filed under the name Lophiomus setigerus (blackmouth angler). RNAcentral describes it as "tRNA-Trp". It matches the Rfam family "tRNA". Rfam says of the family: Transfer RNA (tRNA) molecules are approximately 80 nucleotides in length. Their secondary structure includes four short double-helical elements and three loops (D, anti-codon, and T loops). Further hydrogen bonds mediate the characteristic L-shaped molecular structure. tRNAs have two regions of fundamental functional importance: the anti-codon, which is responsible for specific mRNA codon recognition, and the 3' end, to which the tRNAs corresponding amino acid is attached (by aminoacyl-tRNA synthetases). tRNAs cope with the degeneracy of the genetic code in two manners: having more than one tRNA (with a specific anti-codon) for a particular amino acid; and 'wobble' base-pairing, i.e. permitting non-standard base-pairing at the 3rd anti-codon position. Lineage: Eukaryota; Metazoa; Chordata; Actinopteri; Lophiiformes; Lophiidae. The record is from RNAcentral.